UAGAGAAUUUGACACACAAAACAAGCCAAGUUAAAAUGUGGGGAGAAAAAUUCUAAUUAUUUGAACUUUUCUGUUGUUUAGAUUCAUGAGGAAUCUGAGCUUACUGAAGUUAUUCUUUAAUGAAAGAUUCAGUUUUUGCUUAUUCAAAGAAGCAAUCCCUUUGGAGAAGGGUCCCACUAUCCGUAACACCAACUGCCGACCAACUGCCACCAAUGGGGAGCUAAGCUCAAGGGUCCCUGGAACAGAAGCACCCCCUACAACACUGGCCCUCCUUCCAGCCCAGUCCCUUAAGUCAUUGUUCAGGGAAGCAACCACUGUAGAGAAGGGGCCAGCCAUUCCCACCAACUGCCAAUCAACUGCCACCUUUAGGGCAGGAAUUCCAUAGCUUUAUCAAAGGCUCUGCCCAACCAUCCCUGCUGUGAAGUUACUUUGUUUCCUCUAGACUUGUGUUUGGGACAACUCUUGAUCCAUAACAUUUCUUUAUCAUUGGUUUUGCUCAAGUUGCCAGAAGAGUCUAUAGCUUUCUAGGUACAAAGCUGGCUCUAUCUGAUUGACUUAAGAGAUUACAGAAAAAGUCAAAGCAAGAAAUGAAAUAAACCAAGCCAUAUAUUCCUGGGAAGAAAAGAGACAUGAGUAGGAGGAAAAUGUGGCUUUUUUACUUUGGCAAUAUUUCAGCCUACAGAAGUACAUUUAACAAUCAAAUUCCUUUUGAUGGGGAAAA
Molecule: non-coding RNA, 721 nt
Organism: Phascolarctos cinereus (koala)
Lineage: Eukaryota; Metazoa; Chordata; Mammalia; Diprotodontia; Phascolarctidae
Source: RefSeq, a predicted model, not a curated record